UUUUUUUUUUUUUUUUUUUUUUGGUAAAAAAUGUAUUUCUAAAAAAUGUCAUGACAGAAAAAAAAAAAGUGCUUUUUGCCAACAAGAUCAGCUCUUCUCCAGCCUUCUGCAACAACUUUGCACUUCAGCAGUGAGGCUAGUAAGUAAUAUUGUAUAGAAAAAAUUGACAUACAACUGGCGGUACACCAAUCAAGAGAACAUCCGGAGAAAGUUAUUGGCAUACGCCAUUGGCUUCACAUCAGGGUGUGGCUGCAAUUUCAUCACAAAAAGAAAUAAGAGGACAAGUUACACUUUUAACCAUCUAUAAACCAAGUUGACAAAAUUUAGCAGAAGGAUCUUUCAGAAAACACAGGCUACUCACCACUGCUGAAAAUGUGACAAUGUUUGGCUUCAGAUCUGGGGCUUCAAAACGAAUAAAAGCACCCUUGUUGCCCAUCUGCAACAGCCAAUCACAUACCCAAGUUAUAUGUAAUCUCUUGCAUCAUAAUUAAAACACAUCAUAAGUAUGUAAAAUCAAUGCAAAAUUAUCUGAAAAUGAUAUUCCAAAAAUAUAAUGUUCUGACAACUAAUCAGUAUGAAAUUUCAUUACAAAUCCAAGCUCCUUAUAAGCAACAAAUAUAUAAAAUAUAUCCAUACUCCAAGAACGAAUAUUGCAGAUCACCUAAAAGACCAAUAUAUGUUCCAUAGUCUAAUGAGUGAGAUGAAUAAAAACAAUAUUUUCUCACUCCUGAUAAGAUAAGCUCCAUACAAUGGGCUCUGCUGUUUUGACUACUUUUGCAAUUUCUUUAGAGACUUCUCAUAUGUGAUAAAAUUGCAAGGAACAGUGGUUCAUACUGGUAGACAAGGGCUCAACAGCUUCAUGAGGCCUACAUUUCUAAAUACAUAUACAUAUGUGAUGUCCCCUGGAGGAGUUUAGUCGAAUGUACACGAGUUCUAAGCUUUCAAAUCCAAGGAACUAUUAAAAAGGUUAAGCCUCACAUACCUGAUCACAAUAGUUUGGAGCAGAAAACACAGUAAUAAGCUUGCCAUCAUGUUCAAUCUCAUAGCCUUCAUCCUUUACUUCAUGAGAUCGCACAACUAAAUCUGUCAAACAAGCCAUGUGCAUGAAGAGAGUGACUUCAACAAAAUAUGACCAUAAAUAAUAUACAAAUUAGUAGAGAAGUACCUAGAUUGUUUUCUUGCAAGAAUCUUUUUGUCACAUCUACACCAAAGGAAAGACCUACACCCCGCUUGCUAGGGCCUCUUCCAGGGUAAGGUUGGGGAUCACUCCACAGCAGUUCACACAUCAAUCCUUAUGGAAUACCAGAUAAAUAUUAAAGGUACUUAGUAAUCAAUAAACAUAAGCAGUGAAGAAGCAGAGGAUCAUGCCUUAGAAUGAUCUUACAUAAAAAAAAAUCCAAGUUUACCUUAUCCAGAGUAAACAGCAGAAGUGAGAUAAAGGACAAGAAAGAAAAAUACUGAGACUACAAUAUGAACUCUGCACAUGGUAAUUUGUAUUUUAAAAUAUUUUCUUGAACAGAAACAACUAUGCACAUGCUACUACUACUAAUAAUUUGUAUUUAAAAAUAUUUUCUUGAACAAUAACUAUACAAAGUGCAUUUGUGAAAUUAAGAAUUAGAAUAUUAAAUCAAGUGCUGAGAUAACUUCAUUUAUGUUAGUUCUUUUUAUAAAUUCUGAGGCUACAAUUAAAAAAACAAAAAAAAACUGUUAUUGUCAUGAUUUAUUAUUUUCAUUUGUUAGAAUUGAUAAUAAAUUGAUAUUUAUUUUAAUCAUGGACAUUCAAAAUAUUUUUAUUAAAUGUGUGAAUGAAUUAUCUUUUGUUGAACUACAAAGUGAUGCAGGUUGAAGUAUUCUUCCUAAUUAGUUUAAUUGGAGAUAUUCUGCAGAUGGACAUAUUUGUGGGGAACCCUACAUAUUAAGUGAUUAUGCAUGUGACAAAUUCUAUAAAAAACCGAUCAUAUGUUGCACAAUUGUGAAUUUAUGCAUUAAUGGGGGGCCAGGGCCCCUAGGUAGAGCCCAAAAAGAAGAACAGCAUCGUGUCCCUAGUGAUGGAGGACCCCAAAGUAACCUCAAGAAGAUUCCAUUAGGAAUAUAAUAGGGGGGUGCAGACACACAUCCUUGGGUGAGAGUCCUAAAGCAAAAUUUUAUAUUAUUGUGGUAUUAGCCAAGAUUAAAUAUUUUGUUUUUAAUGUGGGCUUCAAGAUAAAACAUGGUUGGUGAAAAUGAUUAUACCCUCUUGUAUGAUUUUAACUGGAUGAUGAAUUAGCUACCAAUUAAUAAGAAUAUGACCUUGGUCAUUACCUACAUUGGUUAAGUUUAAUUUUGACAUAGGUGAAUGCAUUACUUUUAAUGCCAUAUUUGGAAUUAUUUCAUCAUUUUAACCAGAAGUUUACACAUACCAAUGUCCACCCCAGUUUUGGAACCUCAAAUUAGCUUGUGUCCUUCCAAUAUUUCAUGGAUUUAAGAUUUAGAUGUGACAGAUAACUCCUAUUACCUUUCUUCCACUGCUCAUCAUUAAACAAUUUUGAAUUUUUGAGAAUUUGUAAUUAGUCACCUUCUAUUAUAUCAUCUUCUAGGAUGCAUGAUAUGAGAUAUAUCUUACCCAUGGUACCAAAACAAAACCAGACAAAACAAAACCAGCAUGUUUUACUAAUGAAUAGAUAAAGGUACCAAUAGCAAGUAUGCAAGCAACAAAAAGAUUUAAUCAUUUCAAUUAUAACCUAUGCAAAGUCCAUUUGAUCGAGGCAUUGAGAUGACUGAUAUACAAAAGCAAAUGAAUAAAUAAAUAAUUAACUACUCCACUAGGACUAAACAGCCCCGAUAAAAACUAAAUUUUCGCUGAAUGCCAAAAUUCCAAGGUAGGGCUGUGUUAGAUUGUGAUCAUCAUGCACAAAUGUUGAGAUUAGGCUGCUAUGCUCUAUUCAAUCAUUAGAGGCUGUAUAUGUGAAACUUUCAUGUGCUAAGAAGAUUGAAUUUUUUGCUUCUGAGGAUCUUUAAUGGUGACAUCAAUUCAUAAGGUUAUAGAACAUGUUCUCCAUUCAUGUUUUUUUUCCUUUUUCUUCUCGCAGCUUCACAACUGGGAUAAAUAAGAGUUCCUCUAAGUCAUGCCAAAUUUGUUAAGCUUCCAUGUUUACACAAAGGAUCCUCACCCUGAAUCAAAAUGAAAAAGAAAUACAGUUUUUCCUCUUUUUUUGUUCUCUUUUUUAUUUGGCAAGUGAAACACAUUAUAUAAUUGACAAUUUAAUUAUAACUAUUUACCAAUAGUGGUAGGAUUGGAAGAGAAUGCAUCUUGAUAUUAAUAGAAGCUUGAGGAAAAAAGUACAGAAUGAACAGCAUAUCUAGCUUACCUUCCUCAGGAGGCUCACAAAACCGGUCAAUUGCUCUAAUGUCAGAGAGCUUCACUCCAUCAACACUGAAUAGACCUCCAUGAACUACAAAGAUCUUUUCGUUUAUUACAUGAGCCAAAGGUAAACAACAGAACACUUCGGCAAAGAGUUCCACAAAUGUUUCACUCAACUUGGAUCUGACCUCCCCUUCAAAACCAUAUAUCUUGUUCAUGCUCUUGCUCUCGUGAUUUCCUCUAGAGAGAUAUAUAGCUGAAGAUUUUUUGAACCAGUCAACAAGAUGUUACAUGAGAAUAAAAUUAGUUGUGAUUUUGUUACUUAGAGAGCAUGAAACAAAGGAAGAGGAAACAAAGUAAUGCAUGGUAAUUGUAGAAAGAAAUGAAGAAAAUGCUGUUAUUUUUACACAUAAAAACCCAGACAAGCAAAAAAGAAAGGCUGAAUUAAACAUAUCAAUGGCAAAUUUCAGGACCAAGGCAAAAUAUGAAAUGAACCUAAUAAUAGAGACCUGCUUAGGCACAAUUGUAUUCAAAUAUGAUUUACUCAUCAGUACCAAAAGCAGAUGGCCUUGAAUAUUACUAUAAAUAUAUGUUGUUCAACAGCCAUAAACAGAAUUAGCAAAAAUGUACUUCUUGAUAUGCUAAUGAGAAAAACAAGAAUCAGCAAAAUGUAGAUUCUAUUUCCACAUGUUACCCUUUCAGAAAGGAAUGAUUGUUUGUCAGUGCCAAACCUUGUAAGCAAAGCUCACGCAGAGAAGACAAAGAGCAGAAGAAUUGCAGAGGGAAUACCUGAUGGAGACAUGCACUUAAAUGCAAACAGUGUGAGGAUGACCUCUAAAGAAAAGGAUCCUCUAUCCACAAAAUCACCAUUAAAUAGAUAGGGGUUCUCUUCUGAGGGAAGUCCAUUGAGGUCAAAAAUAUUUAAUAGAUCAUAGAACUGCAAGCAUAUCAAGAUGGGUGUAAGUCCCUCCAAAUUCCAAAAUAGCAAACAGAAAAAAGAAAAGGCAAUAAAAAUAGUUUGGAACAUAAAGACAGAGCUAAAAGAGAUUAAAUUAAGUAAACAAUAUGGAACGUCCAUGUCACUGUAUCAGAAAUCAGUGGAUGCAAGAUGCCUAGGUGCCAAUACAAGGCAAAAAAACUGAUUUACUACACAUUCUAGACAUAAUGCUUAAAUGGAGAAAGAUAUUACAAAACACUUUUAAGCAUCCAGAUUUCCUCUCCAGGAAUAUAAGGCAGAGCUAUAAAUGGGCAUCAAAAAAUCUUCAGGCAGGAUUGGAAAAUUAAUUUGAGAACUGAUCUUUCAAGCUUUUACAAGAACAAGAAAGCAUAAAUCAAUUAUGAUUGCAACUUGCAAUGUAGUAGAUUGCAUUUAAUAUGUAGAAUAGUUAUCCUUUUAAUGAAUAACAGUUUAUCCAAUGGGACGGCAUAAACACAUGGUCACUAAUGGGUGUAUUCAUUACAACAAACUAUAUGUGAAACCAAAGUUCGGUUAAUCUCGGUUUUGAUGAUAACAAAACAAGGUUUGAAACUAAUGAUUAUAUUUCAAGUGUGAUUAGGCAAGAAGAUUUCCAAAGUAGCAAUCACAAAGACAAAAUCAAGACAAAGAGAAAUCAAUAAGAAGAAGAAGACCUCAAAGAGAAGUUCUUUUCAAGACCUAAGCUUUAUAGGAUCUCUUUGUAAGGUUGGUUGUUGGUGCAUUAGGUAUUUCAUGCAUUACAUUAUUAAUUUAUGCACCAAAAUCAUUCAAAAGUAAUGUUGAAUAUAAUGUAUGUAUAGUAUACUAUCUUUCCUUAUUAAUAUAGGUCAUAUGUAUGGUAGUUAGGACUCCUAGCCUUGUAUAUAUAUAUAUCUCUCAAUUGUAAGUAAAAAUAGAUGAAUGAAAAUAAGGUUUUUCUCCUUUCUCUCUCUCUUUCAACAUGGUAUCAGAGCCAAGGAAGAAAACCUAAUUCUUUCCUGUUUUUCCGUGUCAUCAACUCCGGGAAACCUUCCGGUGACCGUGUUUCUUUCCGGUCACCGUGUUUCUUUCCGGUCACCUUUCCCAUCUCCCAAUACUUUCCGGUCAGUCGGAUCGUCGCUAGAAACCACUCACCGCCGGCGAAAUUUUCCGGCGAACUUUCCGGCGAACUUUCCGGCGAACUAUUUUUCCGACACCGACCAUACCAGAAGGAGCGCCUGGAGGAGAUCUCCACCUUUUGUGAAGACACCAGCACCAAAAGAGGAGCCACGCGCCGUCCACGCGCGAUUUUCGGUCGGCGGCUGCAUCUCACGCGCCGGCGCGUGGGGGCGCGUGAGGCAUAUUCCGGCCACUUCCGACACCUCUCCAGGCUCGUCCGGCGCCGUCUUGGCCUUCUAGCCCCCCGGCAGUCCUCCCCGAGCCCUGCAUCUCCAUUUUUUUCCCUGUUUUUGGCUUUCUUGCCAUUCCGGCCACCUCCGACAGGGCUCCCCCUCCAUCUCCGAGGCUUGGGUGCUGCUUCUCUUCCUCUCCAGGCACGUCACGAACCUUUUCUCCAUUGAUUGCACCUCUCACAGCCGUGGUUUCACUUUUUUUCUCUCUCCGCCGAAAUCUGAACCCAUCUUAGGGCUCUCUUCGAUCCAAAUACGUGAAUAUGACCACCAAAAAUCAGAUCUUUACCUCUGUUAUCUCUGGAUCUCCUAUGAUUACCUCAGAGAAAUUGGUUGGCAGUGAGAAUUAUCUCUCCUGGUCUGCUUCUGUUGAACUUUGGUUUAUGGGUCAAGGAUAUGAGGAUCACUUGGUUACCCAGGAGGCAGAUAUCCCUGAGGUUGACCGCGUACAGUGGCGGAAGAUAGAUGCACAGUUAUGUAGUGUAUUAUGGCAAUCGGUUGAUCCCCGGAUUCUUCUUCAUCUUCAGGCCUAUAAAACUUGUUUUAAGUUUUGGACUCAGGCCAAAGGAUUAUACACGAAUGAUAUCCAGCGUCUUUAUAAGGUGGCUUCUGCUAUUGUCCAUCUCAGCCAACAGGACUUGGACCUAUCUACUUAUAUUGGUCAGAUUGCCUCUCUUAAGGAGCAGUUCCUGACUGUGAUGCCUCUUACUCCUGAUGUUGGGGCUCAACAAACACAACUUGACAAGUUCUUCAUGGUUCUUACUCUUAUUGGCCUCCGUCCGGAUCUUGAGCCUAUUCGUGAUCAGAUUCUUGGCAGUUCAUCAGUUCCGUCCUUGGAUGAUGUGUUUGCUCGCCUCCUGCGUAUCUCGUCCACUCAGACUUUGACAUCUGAUAGCGCUUCAGAUUCUUCUGUGUUAGUUUCUCAAACUACCUCUCGAGGAGGACGCAGUGGUACCCGAGGUAGAGGCCAACGUCCUCAAUGCACCUAUUGCAAUAAACUUGGCCACACUCGCGAUCGUUGCUAUCAGUUACAUGGAAGACCUCCUCGCACUGCCCAUAUGGCCCAGUCCUCUGAUUCUCUGUUGCCUCAGCCUCCGAGCUCCUCCGCAUCUCAGACAUCUCAGGCUUCUAUUGCCUCUGUUGCCCAGCCUGGUAAUGCCUCUGCCUGCCUUACCCACACAUCUUCUCUUGGACCCUGGAUUCUAGAUUCUGGAGCAUCUGAUCACCUAUCUGGUAAUAAGGAUCUUUUCUCCUCUAUUACUACUACCUCUGAUUUACCUACUGUUACCUUAGCUAAUGGUUCUCAAACUGUGGCUAAAGGUAUUGGUUUGGCCCUUCCUCUGCCUUCUCUACCUCUCACUUCUGUCCUUUAUACUCCUGAAUGUCCUUUUAAUCUUAUUUCCAUCAGCAAAAUCACUCGUACUCUUAAUUGCUCUAUUACAUUUUCUGAUAAAUUUGUGACCUUGAAGGACCGGAGUACGGGGAAGACGAUUGGCAUAGGACGUGAGUCUCAAGGCCUCUAUCACCUCACCUCAGAUUCAUCUCCUGCAGUUUGCAUUUCCACUGAUGCUCCUCUCCUCAUUCACAAUCGUCUGGGCCACCCUAGUCUCUCCAAGUUCCAGAAGAUGGUUCCUCGUUUUUCCACUUUGUCGUCGCUUCCGUGUGAGUCAUGUCAGCUUGGGAAACAUACUCGUGUCUCGUUCCCAAAGCGUUUGAAUAAUCGGGCAAAGUCUCCUUUUGAGCUUGUUCACACUGAUGUUUGGGGUCCUUGUCGGACUGCGUCUACUUUAGGAUUUCAGUAUUUUGUCACUUUCAUUGAUGACUAUUCUCGAUGUACUUGGUUAUUUUUAAUGAAAAAUCGAGCUGAGUUAUUCUCAAUUUUCCAGAAAUUUUAUACUGAAAUCCAAACCCAGUUCAAUAUUUCUAUUCGUGUGUUACGCAGUGACAAUGCCAGGGAAUAUUUUUCAGCCCAAUUUACUUCGUUUAUGUCUCAUCAUGGGAUUCUUCAUCAGUCUUCUUGUGCUCAUACUCCUCAACAAAAUGGGGUAGCUGAACGCAAGAAUCGACAUCUUGUUGAGACAGCUCGUACUCUCCUCCUCCAUAGUCACGUUCCUUUUCGCUUUUGGGGGGACGCUGUUCUUACCGCUUGUUAUUUGAUUAAUCGUAUGCCCUCCUCUGUCUUACAUGAUCAGAUUCCUCACUCCCUUCUUUUCCCUGACCAACCACUUUAUUUCCUUCCUCCUCGUGUCUUUGGUUGUACUUGCUUUGUUCAUAUUCUCACUCCUGGACAGGACAAGCUUUCCGCCAAAGCCAUGAAGUGCCUCUUCUUGGGAUAUUCCAGACUUCAGAAGGGUUAUCGUUGUUAUUCCCUUGAGACUCAUCGGUACUUUAUCUCCGCUGAUGUCACCUUUUUUGAGGACUCACCCUUCUUUUCCACCACUUCUGAGUCUCUUCCUGUUUCUGAAGUCUUGCCCAUUCCCAUUGUCUCCCCACCUGAAGCUAUGCCCCCUCGACCACUUCAGGUUUAUCAUCGUCGUCCUCGUGUCGUUGCUCCUCUCCCUUUUCCUGAGGCACCUGCUGACUCACUUCCUAUCCCUUCGGCUUCACCUGCCCCGGCUCUGCCUUCUCCUAAUGACUUACCCAUUGCUGUUCGGAAAGGUACUCGCUCUACUCGUAAUCCUCAUCCUAUUUACAAUUUUUUGAGUUAUCAUCGAUUAUCUUCACCCUAUUCUGCUUUUGUUUCUGCUAUAUCCUCUGUUUCUCUUCCCAAGAGCACCCAUGAAGCUCUUUCCCAUCCAGGCUGGCGACAGGCAAUGGUGGAUGAAAUGGCUGCUCUGCACUCUAAUGGCACUUGGGAUCUUGUUGUUUUACCCCCUGGUAAAUCUACAGUUGGUUGUCGUUGGGUCUAUGCAGUUAAGGUUGGUCCUGAUGGUCAGGUUGAUCGCCUUAAGGCCCGCUUAGUUGCUAAAGGCUAUACUCAAGUUUAUGGUUCUGAUUAUGGUGACACAUUCUCCCCUGUUGCCAAGAUUGCUUCUGUCCGCUUGCUUCUCUCCAUGGCUGCUAUGUGUUCUUGGCCUCUUUAUCAGUUGGAUAUUAAAAAUGCCUUCCUUCAUGGUGAUCUUGCCGAGGAAGUUUAUAUGGAGCAACCUCCUGGUUUUGUUGCUCAGGGGGAGUCUGGUUUAGUGUGCAGGUUACGCCGUUCUCUAUAUGGCUUGAAACAAUCUCCUCGAGCAUGGUUUAGCCGUUUUAGUUCUGUUGUUCAAGAGUUUGGCAUGCUUCGCAGUACAGCAGACCAUUCAGUUUUUUAUCAUCAUAACUCCUUGGGGCAGUGUAUUUAUCUGGUUGUUUAUGUGGACGACAUCGUCAUUACAGGCAGUGAUCAGGAUGGUAUACAGAAACUAAAGCAACAUCUUUUUACCCACUUUCAGACCAAAGACUUGGGGAAACUCAAGUAUUUCUUGGGAAUUGAGAUAGCUCAAUCUAGUUCUGGUGUGGUCCUUUCCCAAAGGAAGUAUGCUUUAGACAUCCUGGAAGAAACCGGUAUGUUAGACUGUAAACCGGUAGACACACCUAUGGAUCCGAAUGUCAAACUUGUACCAGGACAGGGGGAGCCUUUAGGAGACCCCGGGAGAUAUCGACGACUCGUAGGUAAAUUGAACUAUCUCACCAUUACUCGUCCAGACAUUUCUUUUCCUGUGAGUGUUGUUAGUCAAUUCCUACAGUCACCAUGUGAUAGCCAUUGGGAUGCCGUAAUCCGUAUUCUUCGAUAUAUCAAAAGUACACCAGGCCAAGGUGUAUUGUACGAGAACAGAGGUCAUACUCAAGUUGUUGGUUACACAGAUGCAGAUUGGGCUGGCUCACCCACAGAUAGACGUUCCACUUCAGGGUACUGUGUUUUUAUUGGAGGUAAUCUAAUAUCUUGGAAGAGUAAGAAACAAGAUGUAGUGGCCAGAUCUAGCGCUGAAGCCGAGUAUCGAGCUAUGGCUUUGGCAACAUGUGAACUCAUAUGGUUGAGACAUCUUCUUCAGGAGUUGCGAUUUGGAAAGGAUGAACAGAUGAAACUCAUCUGUGAUAACCAGGCCGCAUUACAUAUUGCAUCCAAUCCAGUCUUUCAUGAAAGGACCAAGCAUAUUGAAGUUGACUGUCAUUUCAUUAGAGAGAAGAUCGCAUCAGGAUGUGUUGCUACAAGUUUUGUCAAUUCAAAUGAUCAACUAGCAGACAUCUUCACUAAAUCUCUCAGAGGUCCUAGGAUUAAAUAUAUUUGUAACAAGCUUGGUGCAUAUGACGUAUAUGCUCCAGCUUGAGGGGGAGUGUUGAAUAUAAUGUAUGUAUAGUAUACUAUCUUUCCUUAUUAAUAUAGGUCAUAUGUAUGGUAGUUAGGACUCCUAGCCUUGUAUAUAUAUAUAUCUCUCAAUUGUAAGUAAAAAUAGAUGAAUGAAAAUAAGGUUUUUCUCCUUUCUCUCUCUCUUUCAACAAGUAAUUUUGUUUUAAAUCCUUUAAAAUUAGAUGAUUUCAUGUUUUCAACUAAAAUCUAGUGUCAAAUGUUUUCCAAAUUUGUUAAAAAGGUUUUAAGUUGAAAAUGAUGAUUGUUGAGACAAAAACGACUCAACCGGUUGAACUGGAUGAGGAACCGGUCGACCCCCAGCUCAAGCGGUCUAAAGGUACAAAAACUUUCUCUUUCUUCCAGAACGCUUGUUCAACCAAUCAAGGGACGGUCGAGAUCCGAUCAAGGGACGGUUGAGGUCCAACGUUCACUUGUCAAGCAUUAAAUGCUAACGGCUAGUCAAUCGGUCGACCCCAAACUCGACCGGUCAAACCCCCAACAGGUAGUUUGGUCGUUUUCCUUUAUAAAAAUGCUUUAAUCUUCAUUGUUUCUAAAGCUUAACCUUCCUAAACCUUUCUUGAAUAUAUUUGAGCCUUGGGAGAGUGUUUUUUAGUGCACAAUUGUUCUAAAACUUGCAUAUCAUUAGUACACCAUUCAAUCAUAAUUUUCUUGUAUCAUUUGAGCCUUAAAGUUUUGUACUAGGAUUUUGUGAGAUCAUUUACUAUCUUCAUUUGUAAAUCUUUGAGAGGAAGAAUCUAAAUGUGAGGCAUCACUUAGGGAUUCUCAAGUGUGGGGUAUCAUUUGAGGGGUUAUUCAAGAGUAAGGUAUUUCUUUAGGUUUGUAAAGGGCGCUUGGAGCCAAAAGUCCAAGAAGGUGGAUUGGAACCAUAAUCCAAUUGUAUUACUUGAAGGCUUGGUUUGGAAGCCUUGAAUUAGUGGAACCUCAAGCUUGGGAUUGAAGCUAGAGGAGAGUGGACGUAGGCUGAGUUUCGCCGAACCACUAUAAAAAUCUUGUGUUUGCAUUCUCUCUUCCCUACUUUUUUACUUUAUAUGCAAUUGUCUUCAUAUUGUGUUAUUAUAUAUUUGCAUAUAAUUAUCUCUUUCAUUCACAUAAUUUAAAUUUGCAAAAAGAAACCAUCACCCUCCCUCUAGGGUGAUUACCAUAGGUUGGAUUAGCCCAAUUUUUUCUAACACUAUAAACUACUAUAAAAGCUAGGACUUCAACUUGGGUUGGCUUAAGUCAAGCCAGCCCAAGCUUUGAGCAGUUUGGGAUGAUCUUUUAAGUUCCACUUAGAACAUUACACGGUUAAAUUAAGUCAAAUUGAAUCUUAGCACAAUUUUGUUCAAGUCAGAAAACUAUUUUGCUUUUAGUAAAGAUUCCUUAUGUUUAUUUCAGAGAGGUAGUUCGGUAAUUUCUAAAUUGCUAGAAUGAGUUGGACAAGCAAGCGAUAAUCCUACAUACACUUCUGUUAUUUUAUUGGAAUUAGUAUUAGUAGUUUACUUCUUUGCUAAACUCCUAUCUUUCUAACUUAUAUAUAUAAAAAAAAAAUCUUAUUCUUGCAAUAAAAGGAAAGCCUAUGAUUCCACACAAACACAUGUACUAUUUUUGUUGGAAAACCGAAACUGAUAUGGAAAGAAAUAACUUUGUAAAGUUGUAAACUAUUUAUUAGUUGUCAAUCUUUGUAUUUUUAGGAAAGUAAUUGUUAGGAGUUAUUCUUUCCUUUUAAUCAGUGAUUUAGUUUCCUAAUUUGAAGGAUUUGUAUAUGCUGUAAACUCUAUAAAAGAAUAAUCUCAAUGAAAGAAAAUGAUUCCCGUGAAACCCUAUUCUUCAACUUGGUAUCAGAGCUAGCAAUUUGCUUGUCGAAAUCCUCCUUCUUCCUCUCUUUCAAUCCUUGUUCUCUGAAACCAUGUCGGAUAUUUCAAACGAAUCCACUACUGUUCCUCAACCUUCUCUGAACAAUCCCAUCAUCACCGAUUCUUCAAAAAUCAGUCCUACCACCUCGGAAUCUCACUCUGUCCAAAUCACCACGAUUCGCUUGAAUGGUGACAACUUUCUGAGAUGGUCUCAAUCAGUUCGGAUGUACAUCAGAGGACGUGGAAAGAUGGGCUACCUGACAGGUGAAAAGAAGGCUCCUGCAGUGGAUGAUCCGAACUAUGCUAUAUGGGAUGCUGAGAAUUCCAUGGUGAUGACAUGGCUUGUGAAUUCCAUGGUGAUGAGCAGUUUGGGAUGAUCUUUUAAGUUCCACUUGGAACAUUACACGGUUAAAUUAAGUCAAAUUGAAUCUUAGCACAAUUUUGUUCAAGUCAGAAAACUAUUUUGCUUUUAGUAAAGAUUCCUUAUGUUUAUUUCAGAGAGGUAGUUCGGUAAUUUCUGAAUUGCUGGAAUGAGUUGGACAAGCAAGCGAUAAUCCUACAUACACUUCUGUUAUUUUAUUGGAAUUAGUGUCAGUAGUUUACUUCUUUGCUAAACUCCUAUCUUUCUAACUUAUAAAAAAAAAAAAAAAAUCUUAUUCUUGUAAUAAAAGGAAAGCCUAUGAUUCCACACAAACACAUGUACUAUUUUUGUUGGAAAAUCGAAACUGAUAUGGAAAGAAAUAACUUUGUAAAGUUGUAAAUUAUUUAUCAGUUGUCAAUCUUUGUAUUUUUUAGGAAAGUAAUUGUUAGGAGUUAUUCUUUCCUUUUAAUCAGUGAUUUAGUUUCCUAAUUUGAAGGAUUUGUAUAUGUUGUAAACUCUAUAAAAGAAUAAUCUCAAUGAAAGAAAAUGAUUCCCGUGAAACCCUAUUCUUCAACUUGGUAUCAGAGCUAGCAAUUUGCUUGUCGAAAUCCUCCUUCUUCCUCUCUUUCAGUCCUUGUUCUCUGAAACCAUGUCGGAUAUUUCAAACGAAUCCACUCCUGUUCCUCAACCUUCUCUGAACAAUCCCAUCAUCACCGAUUCUUCAAAAAUCAGUCCUACCACCUCGGAAUCUCACUCUGUCCAAAUCACCACGAUUCGCUUGAAUGGUGACAACUUUCUGAGAUGGUCUCAAUCAAUUCGGAUGUACAUCAGAGGAUGUGGAAAGAUGGGCUACCUGACAGGUGAAAAGAAGGCUCCUGCAGUGGAUGAUCCAAACUAUGCUAUAUGGGAUGCUGAGAAUUCCAUGGUGAUGACAUGGCUUGUGAAUUCCAUGGAAGAAGACAUUUAGCUUUAAUUACAUGUGCUAUCCAACAACACGAGCUUUGGGAGAAUGUAAAUCAAAUCUAUUCUGAUUUAGGGAAUCAAUCACAGAUCUUUGAAUUAACCCUCAAACUUGGUGAGAUACGACAAGGGGAGGACAACGUCACAAAGUACUUCAACUCCUUGAAGCGGAUCUGGCAAGACCUUGACCUCUUCAACACCUAUGAGUGGAAAUCUACCGAGGAUGGACUUCAUCAUAAGAAGACCAUGGAAGACAAUCGGAUCUUCAAGUUCUUGGCUGGCCUUAAUGUCGAGUUUGAUGAGGUAAGGGGGAGAAUCAUUGGAAGACAACCCCUGCCUUCAAUUGGUGAAGUUUUUUCAGAAGUUAGAAGAGAAGAGAGUCGGAGGAAUGUGAUGUUGGGCAAGAAGGGACCUGGAGUUGCUAUUGAAGGUUCAGCCUUGGUUACCACGGGUGGAGGCUAUAAUAAAGUUGUUGCAUUUCAGCGUAAAUCAGAUGAAAGACCACGGGUUUGGUGUAAUUUUUGCAACAAACCUCGCCAUACUCGUGGGAACUGUUGGAAAAUCCAUGGGAAACCUGCAAAUUGGAAAGGAAAAAUAGGUGACAAAUCAGGCCGAGCCAUUAUUCCUACUGCUAAUGAGGCUGAGACCAGCCCCUUCACCACUGAGCAAAUGGAGCAUCUUCUUGCACUGUUGAAAUCCAACUUGACAUCCGGUACUUCUAGUGUUUCUUUGGCACACACAGGUAAUGAAUUAUAUGCUCUAUCUUGUCGUUUUAAAUCUACUCCAUGGAUAAUCGAUUCUGGAGCAUUCGACCACAUGACCAAUUCCUCAAACAUGUUUGAAUCCUAUUCACCGUGUCCUGGAAAUAAAAAGGUUCGGAUAGCUGAUGGUAAUUUCUCACCUAUUGCAGGAAAAGGUCUAAUAAAAAUCUCUGAGGGAAUAGAUCUUAAGUCUGUUCUCCAUGUUCCUAAACUUACUUGUAAUCUCGUCUGUUAGCAAAUUAUCUAGAGAUUCUAAUUGUUGUGUUAUCUUCUAUGAAUCCCAUUGUAUUUUUCAAGACCAGAGGUCGGGGAAGACGAUUGACAGUGCUAGGAUGAUCAAUGUUCUCUAUUAUUUUGAGGAUAAUUUACCUAGUAAUAAAAUUGCUCAAGGACUAAGUAGUAUUAGUUCUCUUUCUGUUUGUGAUCAAAUAAUAGUUUGGCAUUGCAGAUUAGGUCAUCCUAGUUUCUCUUAUUUAAAACAUUUAUUUUCAGUGUUAUUUCAAAAGGUUGAUCCUUUAUCAUUUUAAUGUGAAAGUUGUUUAUUGGCAAAGAGCCAACGAAAAACUUACAUUCCAAAACCCUACUAUGCAUCAAAACCAUUUUAUCUUUUUCACAGUGAUGUUUGGGGACCUUUAAAAGUAACCACAAUUUCAGGAAAAAAAAUGGUUUGUGACCUUUAUAGACGACCAUACACGUCUUUGUUGGGUAUAUUUAAUGACGGAAAAAUCUGAAGUCGAAAGGAUUUUUAAAGAAUUUUACAGAAUGAUUGAAAACCAAUUUCAAACAAAAAUCAAUAUUUUGAGAUAUGAUAAUAGGACUGAGUACUUUAAUAAAGUUUUGGAAACCUUUUAAAACAAGAAAGGAAUUUUACAUCAAUCCUUUUACAUGAAUAUUCCAAAAUACUUAUGGGGGGAUGCCAUACUAACUGCUUCAUAUCUAAUCAACAGGAUGCCUACAAAAAUUUUGCAGUAUACCACUCCUUUGGAAUGCUUGAAAAAGGUAUUUCCAGAAUCUCGAAUUAAUUCUGAAUUACCCUUGAAAAUAUUUGGUUGCACUACAUAUGUACACAUUUCAAAAAGGUCAAGAUCUAAGUUAGACCCAAGAGCAGAAAAAUGUGUUUUUGUAGGAUAUACUCCUAAUAAAAAGGGUUACAAAUGUUUUAAUCCCCUUACAAAAUGUUUUUACACAACUAUGGAUGUUUCCUUUGUGGAAAAUGUCCCAUAUUUUACCAAAAAUUUACUUCAGGGGGAGAAAUUAGUAGAACCAAAUUUUUGGGAAAUUGUUGAACCUUAGCCUAGUGUAAUUCUUGAUAUCUCUCUUGAAAAAGAAAAUAAGGAAACUAAGCCUACUAAAUCCAAAUUUGAAAUUGGUCUGUCAGAAGAAGAAAUAUUACGAAUAAAAAAAAAUUGAAACAAUCUUGAACCUGUGGUUUAUUCAAGGAAAAAAGUCCCUGGAAGAAGUAAAGACCAGUCGAUCAUCCCAGCACAUGGUCAACCGAAAGCCCUGGGCAAUGGCUCUCUAAAUGUCUCAAGUAACCCUCCUUCUAUUCUUACUCUACAUGCUUCUUCUUCUUUUGUUACUGAUCUAAGUUUACCAUCACACUUUGGUCCAAGUCCAGAAAUAUUUGCACCCGAACCCGGUUUAGGAUUAGCCCCAAUUGUUCCUGCACAGGACCUUGACCUUGAUCUCCCUAUUGCUCUUAGAAAGGGAACUCGAGCCUGCACUAAACAUUCCAUUGCCAAAUAUAUCCCCUAUAGUAACCUUUUUGACAACUAUAGAGCAUUCACUACAAAUAUUUCAAAACUUGUGGUACUUAGAAAUAUUCAAGAAGCACUAGAUGAACCGAGUUGGAAAUUGGCAGUGUUUGAGGAAAUGAAUGCCUUAAAAAAGAAUGGCACUUGGGAGGUUGUAGAUUUACCAAGGGAAAAAAAAGUUGUAGGGUGCAAAUGGGUGUUUACAAUAAAGAGUAAAGCAGAUGGAAGUGUUGAGAGAUACAAAGUUAGACUUGUGGCAAAGGGUUUUACUCAAACCUAUGGGAUAGACUACCAAGAGACUUUUACCCCCGUAGCUAAAAUAAACUCGAUUAGAGUUUUGUUGUCCCUUGCAGUAAGUUCCAAUUGGCCCUUACACCAAUUAGAUGUUAAAAAUGCCUUUCUUAAUGGAGACCUAGAGGAGGAAGUGUUCAUGAGUCCUCCACCAGGUUUUGAAGAAAGUUUUGGAGUUGGGAAAGUGUGCAAAUUGAAGAAGUCCUUAUACGAACUUAAGCAGUAGCCUAGAGCUUGGUUUGAGCGCUUUGGCAAAGUAAUAAAGCAUUAUGGAUAUACUCAAAGUCAAGCUGAUCACACGAUGUUCUACAAACAUUCAAAUAAAGGUAAAGUAGCCAUCUUAAUUGUGUGUUGACGAUAUUGUGUCAACUGAGGAUGAUUGCAAUGAACUAGAGAAGCUGAAGGGGAAACUUGCUGAGGAAUUUGAGAUUAAGGACCUGGGGGCAUUAAAAUACUUUCUUGGGAUGGAGUUUGCUAGGUCCAAAGAAGGUAUCUUUGUAAAUCAACGGAAGUAUGUUCUUGAUCUUCUUGAUGAGACAGGUAUGUUAGGAUGUAAGCUUGUUGAAACACCUAUAGAGCCGAAUGUAAAACUGCAGCCUACAAAAGCCAAGAAUGUGAAGGAUCGGGAUCGUUAUCAGAGACUUGUUGGGAGAUUGAUUUACCUAUCCCAUACACGCCCUGACAUAGCAUUCUCAGUGAGUAUGGUUAGUUAGUUUAUGCAUGCGCCUGGACCAGAGCAUUUUGAAGUUGUUUACAGGAUUCUAAGGUAUCUAAAGGGGACACCAGGUAGAGGUCUUCUGUUCAAGUCACGAGGACACCUACAAAUUGAAACCUACACCGAUACAGACUGGGCUGGAAGCAUAGUGGAUCGAAGGUCCACCUCUGGGUACUGUUCAUUUGUAGGUGGCAACUUGGUUACAUGGCGAAGUAAAAAACAGAACGUGGUUACUAGAAGUAGUGCUGAGGCUGAGUUUAAAGCUGUAGCUCAUGGUAUUUGUGAGAUUAUGUGGAUAAGAAGAUUACUGGAAGAGUUAAAGAUGACAGGUUCAUCUCCUAUGAAGUUGUAUUGUGACAACAAGGCAGCAAUUUCAGUAGCUCACAAUCCGAUUCUCCGUGACCGCACCAAACAUGUGGAAGUGGACAAGCAUUUCAUUAAAGAGAAGAUAGACAACGGAUUGGUCUGUAUGACCUAUAUCCCUACCGAGGAACAAGUGGUUGGUGUCUUCACCAAAGGACUACACAAGAGGUAAUUCGAUUUUCUAGUUGGCAAGCUGGCUAUGGAAGAUAUCUUUAAGCCAGCUUGAGGGGGAGUGUUGGAAAACCGAAACUGAUAUGGAAAGAAAUAACUUUGUAAAGCUGUAAAUUAUUUAUUAGUUGUCAAUCUUUGUAUUUUUAGGAAAGUAAUUGUUAGGAGUUAUUCUUUCCUUUUAAUCGGUGAUUUAGUUUCCUAAUUUGAAGGAUUUGUAUAUGCUGUAAACUCUAUAAAAGAAUAAUCUCAAUGAAAGAAAAUUAUUCCCGUGAAACCCUAUUCUUCAACUGUUUCAAAAUUGCUAUGUGAUGAGCUACCCAAAAGUCGUCAUUUUCUCUUUUCAAUCUGAGUAAUGAAAAAUUAGAAAUUCCUUUUUCCAUUUUCCACAGUGAUGUGCAGGGUCCAUCACAAGUAACCUCUUAUUCUUGCUUUAAAUGAUUCAUAAGCUUCAUUGAUGAUUCUACUUGCACCAACUUGGUUUUAUCCCCUCAAAGAAAAGUUUGAAGUUGCCUCAAUUUUUAAAUCUUUUCACAAAAUGAUUCAACAUCACUGUCACACAAACACUCGAGCAUUUCAGUCAGAUAAUUAGUGACAAUACUUUAAUAAUAUCUUGAAGUCUUAGUUUCUUGAAAAUGGGAUUAUACAUCAUUCUUCACGCAUAGAUACACUCCAACAAUAUGCAGUGAUUGAGAGGAAAAAUAGGCAUUUCUAAGAAGUUCCUAGAGCGUUAAGAUUUACUCACAAUAUCCCAAAGAUUUGCUAGGGUUAUCUUGUCUUAACUAUAGCCUAUUAAAUAAACCAUACGCCUUUGAAGACCCUACUGAAAACUCCAAUUCAAGUCCUAAAAACUGUCUCCCAAUAUCUAACUUAUUCAAAUCUCUUCCCCUUAGAGUCUUUGGAUGUUUAGCCUUUAUUCAGCUCCUAAGUAGAGAAUGAUCUAAACUUGAUCCUAGAGCUCUUAGGUGCUAUUUCCUAGGUUUCUUACUAAAAAACUGUUCAAAUGUCUGGAUCCUUCCUACCAGCAAAAAAAAUACUUAACCAUGGAUGUCAAAUUCUUUGAAACCCUACUAUAUUUUUUUCACUAUGGUUGUGGGGUCCACUCCCUGGAGUGGAGGUCAUCGUUGGACUAAAUCAAAGUCCUAGAAGUCGAUAUCCUAAAGCAUUGGAAUAGGUUAGUUAAAGGUUCAUUACUUUCACCAAAACUGCUACUAUAUGUUACAUGUAUAAUUAAUGUUUUUCUCAAAACCUUACAAGAGGUCGAGAUCCUAAAACAUUGGAAUAGGUUAGUUAAAGGUUCAUUACUUUUCACCAAAUUACAUAUAAUUUUUUUUUUUUUAUGAAUAAAGAAAAAUAUAUUAAAAGAAAAGAGGCACAUCAAAGAAGCACCCCAAAGUAUACAGGUAGUAUACAAAGGUAGAAUACAAAGGAGAGAGAAGAGAACCCUUAACCAGGGCCUAACCAAUCUACAAAAUCUACAACGGAAGGGGGACAAGAGCCAAAUAACCCCCUAGUCUAGGCCCACAGAUUACAAAGGAAAAACGAUUUACACCCAUGAAUUGAAUGCUCCUCGUUUUCAAACGCCCUACUGUUUCUUUCCUUCCAAACAAUCCAAAAAAGGCACAAGGGAGCUAAAAAUCACACUUUCUUCCUUUCCUUUCCCACACAAGGCCCAAACCAUCCCAAUAACGUCUCUCUAACCGAAGAGGGGAGCACCCACGAAACCCCAAAGAGGGAAAAAAGUAAGCUCCAUAAACUUCUGGCCAGCCCACAAUGCAAGAGGAUGUGAUCAAUAGACUCUUCCUCAGCCAGACACAAGUAACAUCUGUUAGCCAAGGAGAACCCUCUUUUCUGAAUACGAUCCAAGGUUAAGGCCUUUUUCCACGUAGCCUUCCAAGCAAAAAAACUCACCCUCGGAAGCACCAAUGAAUUCCAAAUAACUCUUGCAGGAAAAUCCCUUAGUCUUUCUAGUUCCAACUCCUUGUAAAGACUUAAUAGAAAAUCUUCCUUCCUUUGCCUUAGUCCAAAUUACUUGAUCUUCCACAUCACUACAAACCCUCCUCCCUUGCAACCUUAAUAGAAAACGCUCCACAUCGAACACUUCCCAAUCGUUAAGCCGCCUUGAGAACCUACACUCCCCCUCCAAAAUGGCUCCACACAUCCGCCACCCAAGCCUCCUUAGCCGAUGAAAUAGCAAAUAAAGAGGGAAAAGAAGUACACAAAGAAUCAUCUCCACACCACUUGUCCUUCCAAAAUCUAACCCUCCUACCAUUUCCCAUAGAAUAAACCAAAUUGUCGCCUAACACAUCCCAACCUCUCCUAAUCGCUUUCCACAAACCAACCCCAAAACUACCACUCACAACACGGGACCUCCAACCACCCUCUUCUUCCCCAUACUUUAUACAUAUAACUUGCCUCCACAAAGCUUCGCUUUCCAUCGCAAAACGCCAACUCCACUUACAUAGGAGUGCCUUAUUCAGCAACGCCAAGUUCCUCACACCCAAACCACCCUUUCGUUUAUUUGAGCAAACAAUAGACCAUUCCACUAAAUGGGGCUUCCUCUCUAGGGUCCCACCACCCCAAAGAAAGUCCCUUUGGAUCUGCUCCAAUCUCAAACUCAUGCUCCUUGGCAUAUGAAACAGGGACAUACAGUAGAUAGGCAUACUGGACAGAGUGCUCUUGAUUAAGGUCAUUCUGCCUCCUUUGGAGAUAUACUGUCUUUUCCAAAAGGAAAGCCUCUUCCUUAGCCUUUCCUCAACCCGUCCCAAAUUGCCACCUUCUUCUAAUGAGCACCCAAAGGAAGUCCCAAAUAAGAAGAUGGGAGCUUGCUAACCUUGCAACCAAACUCAAGGGCCAACUCCUCUACAUUCUCCACUCUUCCCACCGCGAUGAUCUCACUUUUGUCCAAAUUCACCUUCAACCCUGACAUGGCUUCGAACCACAUAAGGAGCCAACUCAAGUAGGACACCUGAUCAAUGGAAGGCUCACAAAAUACUAAAGAGUCAUCCGCAAACAGCAAAUGAGUGAUCUCCACUCCUGCACCUCCUCUAUCACUAAGCUGCCACCCUAGCAAAAACCCCCCCUAGCAAAAACCCCCCCUCCUUCGCUCUCUUAAACAAACAACUGAGAGCCUCCAUGACAAUCACGAACAGGUAGGGGGAUAAAGGAUCCCACUGUCUCAAUCCCCGAGAACUUUGGGAAAAUCCUAAGAGAGUUCCAUUAAUAAGAACGGAGAAACUAACAAUACCAAUACACCAUUGAAUCUAGCUAAUCCACUUAGCUCCAAAACCCAUCAUUUCCAUCAACCAAAGAAGAAAACUCCAAUUUAUAUGGUCGUAUGCCUUCUCAAUAUCCAGCUUACAAAGGAUGCCACCUCCCCUACUUUUCUGCAUCGAAUGAAUCGCCUCAUUCGCAAUUAGCGAGGCAUCCAGGAUUUGUCUUCCCUUCACAAAUGCAUUUUGGGACUUGGACACCAUCUUACCCAUCACUUUUUUAAGCCUAUUAGCUAGCACCUUUGCUAACAACUUAUAAAGACUGCCCACCAAGCUUAUAGGCUUAAAGUCCUUGAGAUCUUCAGCUCUUCCUUUCUUAGGAAUUAAAACCAGAAAAGAAGCAUUAAUGCUCUUGACAAACUUGCCCUGAUCAUGAAAGUCCUUAAAGAACCCCAUAACUUCCUCCUUCAGAAAACUCCAACUAAAUUGCCAAAACGCCAUUGUGAAACCAUCAAAACCAGAAGCUUUAUCCCCGUUGAGGUCCGAGAGAGCACCAAACACUUCUUCCUCAGAAAAAGGAGCCUCUUAACAUUGCUGCAACUUCCCUUUCCAAAACCUCAACCUGCAGCCCAUUGCAUUUGAGCCUCCACUCAUCUGUUUCUGACAACAGAGAAUGGAAAGCCUGAACCAAACCAUCCUUAAUGUCACGUUCUUCUGUUACCCAUGACCCAUUUAUCUUAAUCUUCACCAGGGAAUUGACCCUCUUAUGUGCAUUGGCCAUUUUAUGGAAAUAACCAGUAUUUCUAUCACCCUCCCUCAGCCAUAACUCUCUAGACUUUUGCCUCCAAGAAGUCUCUUCCAUUAUCACCAACUUCUUAUACUCCUCUAAAGCCUGCUUUUUGAGAUUUUGCUCUUCGGCAUACAACACCCUAUCCCUUUCUAUUGAAUCCCAAAACAUCAUCUCCUUUAAAGCUGAAUCUUUUCUGGCAGUGACAUUACCAAACACUUCUCUGUUCCAAAUCUUCAAGCUGGCCUUAAGCGCUUUCAGUUUUUCAGACAAAGUGAAACUAAAAGUCCCUCUGGAUUGGAAGCCCAUCCACCAACUCCUUAACAAAUCCUUAAAGCCUUCUUCCUUUAGCCACAUAUUCUCAAACCUGAAGGGGGAAAGGCCCUUCUUUGCUCCUCCACAGUCCAACAAAAUUGGGCAGUGGUCAGAAACAAGUCUGGGUAAAAGACUUUGAACUGCCCCACUAAAAUAACACUCUCAUUCCUCUGAAACUAUAAAUCUAUCCAACCUUGACUGAACUUGGUUAUUCAACUCACCCCUCCACGUGAAAGACCCCCCCUGCAAAGGGAGGUCCCUUAAUUCCAAAUCCUCCAUGAUCUCCGAGAAUCUUCUCAUUGCUAAAGACAGUCUUGAAAUACUGUUCCUCUCUCCCAUGAAUCUAAUAACAUUAAAAUCACCCCCUAUGCACCACGAAUCCUGCCACAAUCCCCUGAUUGUCCCCAACUCCUCCCAAAAAUCUUCCUUAAACCUCCCAACAGCAGGGCCAUACACCCCUGUAAAGACCUAACAGAAGUCAUCCUCUUCAUUCUUAAACCAACAGGAAACUGAAAAAUUACCAAUUUCCAUUUCAAUCAGCUCUAAAACCCUAUUAUCCCAAAAAACUAACACCCCCCCCUGCCAUACCCCGAGAAUCAAGAGCGCCCCACUCCAAGAACCUGCCCACCCCCAACGAUCGAACCAAACUACACGACAUACUUUGGAUUUUGGUUUCUUGCAGGCAAACCAAAUCCACCUUUUGAGCCUUGAUUAGAGAUUUAAUGAGCCUUCUUUUAUCGCUAUCAUUUGCCCCUCUCACAUUCCAGGAGAGAAUUCUUAACUUCAUUUACCCACAGAGACUGAACCCCCACUCUCUCGAAAAAUAGCUCUUCCAUUUCCUAAACUUUUAAAAUUAACGGAACACUCCAACCUUUUAAAUUCCCUUUCAGACCUUGAGGAUUCAACCUGAACCUUUCAUUACUUUCACCAAAUUACAUAUAAUUAAUGCUUUCUCCAAACCUUAUAGGAGGUCGAGAUCUUGAAACAUUGGAAUAGGUUAGUUAAAGGUACAUUACUUUCACCAAAUUAUUAUUAUUAUUAUUAUUAUUAUUAUUAUUAUUACAACUGUCUUCAAGAAUAGAAAACAAGUGAUCUAGAAGAUUUGUCCUACUCCCCAUGUCAACUAAAUCUUGCUGAUUCGAAUCAAAAUGUGGUGUCCAAUGCUCUAACCAUUGUUUUUAAUCACCCUAGUAGCUAGAUAAAUACUAGACAUCAAGGAAACAAGAAGGAAAAAUGCACUUAAGGUGUGCCUCAUCCAAGACUUGAUCCCUAAGGCAUACAUCUUUGGGGCUUCACAUUUUUCAUUUUGAGCCUCAGUGCAUUUUUAGGCACCUCAUGAUGUGCACCUUUGAAAUCACCAGUUUAUGCAUUCACCAUUGGAAUGCCACAUAGAAGGGAAUGACACAUAGAAGGAAGUUCAAAGAAUUUUAAGAUAUUUAAAUGCUACUCCUAGAAAAGGACUUUUGUUUUCUAAGAAUGACCACCUCCAAGUAGAAGACAAUCUUGAUACAUGGAGGAGUAAGAACCCUGAUUGUAGCAUAAUUUAGUGCUAAGGUUGGAUUAUGGGCAAUGGGCCAAUAAAUAUGUGAAGUUUCACAGAUUAAACUUCUACUCAAGGGGUUUAAAUCGAAGCUUAAAGAGGCUAUGAAGAUUUAUUGUAAUAAUAAGGCAACAUUCAACAUUGCACAUGACCUAGUUCAAUAUGAUCACACCAAACAUGUAAAGGUGGAUAGACACUUCAUCAAGGAAAAAUAAAGAAUGGACAAUUUCCACCUUUUUUGUGACAAUCAAGUAGCAAAUUACAAAUAUUUUUGCAAAAGAAUCUUAAACACAAUGCUCGACUCUAUGGUCAACAAGCUAGGAAUGCAUAACAUCUUUGCACAGCUUAAGAGGAAGUAUUAGAAUUAAAGAAAUCUGAUUGUCCCAAGGGCUAUUUUUUGAUAAGUAAAGAAAUUGUAUUAAAAGUGCCUAAAGUGUACAUGAUGUAUACAAAGCCAACAAAAGAAGGUAUGGACAAAAAACAACACCCUCACUUUACUUACAGCCCAACCAAUCUAUGAUAUCUAAAAGGGGCAAAGAAGUAGACUAUAUAUGUACCCUAACCCACUCCAAAAACAUGUACAUGAAUCGCAUGGUCUGUUAGUUCAGAAUCUUCAAAGGCUCUUCAGUUUCUCUCCUUCCAUAAAGUCCAAAAUAGGUACAAAGGCGCAACUUUCUAGGCCUUCUUCCCAACAAAGGCACCCCACCAAGGACUAUCCAAAUUCAUAGAACCUUGUUGGUUAAUGAUUUAUUAUAAUCUGUUGCAUUUUUAGUACAUAGCAAAUUACGGAGUUAGCAAAGUUGUAUUAGACUUUCUAUUAUUUCCUCCUUCUAGUUACAUGUGUUGUACAUUGUCCUGAGUGACCUCCCUUCAACCUAAAUUAUUUUUCUUCUAUAACAUCCCAACAAUUCCACCUUUUUGAAGCAACUAAAAUGCAAAAACACAAUUAUCCUAAGCCAUUCUACCACUACUCCAUAAUAGCAAGAAUCCAUAACUCAUUCUUCACAACCUACAACUAAAGAACAAACGUCUUGGAAGCUUACUGAUCUUGCAUCAGAUUUUGUAUAGAAGUUGUAAAUAGAGACUAGAAAAUAAAUGGAAUAGCUCUCUCAAUUUAUUGAAAUGAACAACCAAUACAUUUAUAAAGAAAAACAUAGCAUCCAGAUCGAACCUCGCCUAAACUAAAUCCCUAAAAACUAGGAACCGAAACUACAUAAAGAUAGAGCUUCCUAAUCACUAACAACUACAUUUUAAAUUUAAAGAAAAAAAAAAUAGUAUUAAAAAAAAUCAAAACAUAACAAACUUAAUCCUAAACAAUAUCCUCUACACUCCCCCUCAAGUUGAGAAAAAAUUGUUCAACAUUCCUAGCUUGUAUGUUAGAUCCUCAAAGUUUUGUCUCGAUAGGCCUUUUGUUAAGAUGUCUAUAGUUUAUUGCUUUGUCGGAACGUACAUGAUGCACAUUAGCUCUUCUUUUAUCUCCUCUUUGACAAAAUGAUGAUCAAUUUCUGCAUAUUUUGUUCUUUUGUGAGGGACCGAAUUGUGAGCUAUACUCAUGGUAGCUUUAUUAUCACAAUAAAGUUUUAUAGGACCAUGUGGGAGCACCCUCAACUCAUUUAGCAAUAGCUUCAACAAAAUCAUUUCACAAAUCCCUUGAGCCAUGGACCUAAACUUAGUCUUAACACUAAUUCUUUUUUUUUUUUAUCAGAAACGAAGAAGAUUAUAUUAAUAUAAGAACAAAUACAGGAGAGAAAAAAGAGACAAUAGAAAGAGAAAAAAACCAAGGGAAGGAUGAGAGGUCCUUCCUACACAAAUUGAACAAAGGAUAAAACUCCCAACAAUAGAACUCUAAAAACAAAGAGAAACCCAAUCAAUCUUCAAACUUUUGAAAUGCAAACCCCAAUCCAAUUGAGUUGUAGAAUGUUUAGAGGAACUCCUCUAAAAGCUUCAGUACAAGAAGCCCACAAAGAAGAAUAAAACCGGAUCAAAUCCCAUACCAUCUCUUCCGUUCUCCCUUUAUUCUCAAAGAUCCUAUUGUUUCUCUCUUGCCACACCAUCCAAAUCAAAGUAAGGCAAACAAUUUGCCAAAGUGUCUUGCCUCUUAAUGAGUUCCCCAAGAAGCCUUUAAAAGUAAUAACCAACCCUACUAGAUUGAACAACCUGUGCCAAAGUCCAAUGGUAACGGGACAAUGAAGAAAAAGGUGGUCAAUCGACUCUCCAUUUCCUUUGCAAAGAAUGCACCAUUGAGGACAGAGGGCUUUGUAGGGUCUUCUCAAUUGCAACUUGUCAUUAGUGUUUACCUUCCCAUGUGCUACUAACCAAGCGAGGGCCUUAACCUUUGAAGGGACUUUUGAGCUCCAUAAAAACUUGGCCGGAAGGAACAUUAAAGGAUUUGAGACUUUUGACAAGGCCAAGAAAAAAGAUUUCACUGAAAACAAGUUUGACGAAGACAAAGACCACGCUCUUGAAUCUGAUGAAGAAGGAGAAAAAAGCACAGAAUUAAGGGAGGACAUUUAUCUUUGAAGGAGAUCAAUUUCUGAAUCCGUUAGAUUGCGGCGAAAGUUAAAAUUCCAAGACAGUGGUAAGGAAUUGCCAAGGACAUUUGAGACAGUGAGGUUUUUCACAGAAAUAACUCUGUAAAGAUCAGCAAAUUAAGAGCACAAAGUUUGGUUACCACACCAAAGAUCUUCCCAGAACUGAAUUCUCUCCCCAUUGCCCACCACUAGGCGGACAAAAGGGGAGAACUCUUGGAAAACUUGAGCAAUAGCCUUCCAAGGACAUCUAUGUGACCAUCUAACCACCGUGUUGGCGUCCCAUCCAUUAGGAUGUGUCCCAUAUAUACUCGCAAUAACCUUAUACCAAAGACCGCUCCUUUCUCUAUGGAACCUCCAAAGCCAUUUCCCUAAGAGAGCAAUAUUUCUCAUAGAAGUCUUCCCAAAGCCCAAACCUCCCAACUCCUUUAGUCUACUAACAACCUCUCAUCUGAUAAGGUGACCUUUCUUCCCUUCCCCCGCCCCAGACCAAAGAAAAUCCCUUUGCAUCUUCUCAAUCUUUGAAGCUAUUGAUACUGGGAUUUUAAAGAGGGAGAGGAAGUAGCUAGGGAUGUGAGACAGACAAGACUGAAUUAAAAUAAUCCUUCCUCCCAAAGACAAAUAGACAUUUUUCCACCCAUCCAACCUCCUCGAAAUUCUCUCAACCACUGGAUCCCAAAAGCUUAUUGUCUUUGGGUUCCCUCCCAAAGGAAGGCCUAAAUAAGACAAAGGCCACUUUGACACUCUGCAAUCCAAAACCGAAGUCAAACUAGACAACAGCUCCUGCCUAGUGUUAAUACCUGAAAUGGUGUUUUUUUCUAAGUUGAUUUUUAAACUAGAUACUUGCCCAAAAACCAAAAGGAUAAUCUUGAGGUUUUGAAGAUGUUCUAUACAGGCUUUAAAGAAAAAGAUGGUAUCAUCAGCAAACUGUAACAAAGACACUCUAAUCCUAUCCCUCCCCACAAAAAAACCCUCAGUUAUCCCAGUUUCCUCUGCUCUAAUCAUCAACCUACUUAGAACAUCUGCUACUAGAGUAAAAAGGAAAGAAGAAAGAGGGUCUCCCUGUCUCAAACCUCUAGAGGCUUUAACCCAACCCUUUGCAUUCCCAUUAACUAGGAUUGCAAAACUAGAUGAAGACAAACAGCCCCUCAUCCAAGAUCUCCAUUUCUGGCUGAACCCCUUCCUUUGAAGCACAUGAUCUAAAAAGCCCCAAUCCACAUGAUCAUAGGCCUUCUCAAAAUCAAUUUUGAAGACUACCCCUUCCUCCCCUGACCUUCUUUUCUCAUCCACCACUUCAUUGGCUAUCAAUACAGCAUCCAAAAUUUGUCUCCCUUCCACAAAGGCUCCUUGAGAGCCAAAGAUUGUUUCAUGUAGAACUUUGCGUAAACACCCUGAUAAGACCUUAGCAAUUAUCUUAUAUAAACUUGUAACCAAGCUAAUAGGUCUAUAAUCUGAGAUUUUAAAAGUUUGACUUUUCUUAGGCACCAUAGCAAUGAACAUCGCAUUUGUACUUUGAUUUAUUACCCCCUUAGUGUGGAACUCAAGAAACACCCUCAUAAGAUCCUCUUUUAUCACAUCCCAACACUCUUGAUAAACUGCUAUAGUAAAGUCAUCAGGGCCAGGGGUCUUUUCCUUAUUCAAUUGGAAAAUUGCCAUUCGAACCUCCUCUUCAGAAAACGGUCUAUCCAACCAAACUGCACUCUCUCCAGAAAUAGGGGCCCAAUCAAUCCCUUCAAUCCUCCAAGAGUCACCUUCAGGUUUGGAAUAGAGAUUCCCAAAGAAAUUUACAAUCUCCUCAGAAAUAACCUCAAUGUUACUUAAAGUCUCCCCCCUCUUAGAAAUCAGAGACUUAAUGAACUUCCUGCUUCUUCUUCUAGUGGCCACUCUGUGAAAAAACUUAAGAGUUGCAGUCCCCUUCUUUAAUUCACUUAACCCUAGAUUUUUGUCUCCAUUGAACCUCUUCCUUUAAUAACAAAUCCUCUAGCUCCUUCCUUCUUAAGGUCCUUUCCGAAACCAGAUCAAGAUUUAAAUUCCCUUCUUGUUCAAUUAGAUCAAUUCUGCCUAAGUCCGAAAGAAUGUGCUUUUUCCUCUCUCUUAAAUCUCCAAAGGCCACUAUAUUCCACUCUUUCAACUUUGAUUUAAUAAACUUUAGUUUCCUCAUAAACUUGUGACCUUCCCAACCUUCAACCGUACACUCUUGCCACCAAUCUCUAAACUUCUCUUUAAACUCAGGAUGGAGCAACCACAUAUUCUCAAACCUAAAAGGAGUCGGUCCCCAUUUUAAAGGAUUAGUUUCCAAACAAAUUGGGCUAUGAUCAGAGGUCCAUCUAGGAAGGGCUUCUUGAAUACUUUGAGAGAAAAAAGAAUCUCACUCAGAAGAGAACAAAAACCUAUCCAAUCUCUUGCAAAUAGGAUCCACUUGCAUGUUUGACCAUGUAAAAGCCGCAUUCCUUAGAGGGGGAUCCAACAAACCACUCUCCCUUAUAAACUCGUCAAAACACCUCAUGUUGACUGUUAACCUAGAGUCACCCGUCUUCUCAGAUAUCCUCCUAAUAACAUUAAAAUCCCCUCCUACGCACCACCUUGGGAAAGUCAGACCAUACAGGUCUUGAAGCUCCAACCAAAAGUCCUUCCUCCACAAAGGCUUAUUCGGGCCAUACACUGAGGUUAACCAAAAAGACCCUUCCUCAUCAGAGUUCAACUUUACAGUUACAGAGAAGGAUCCUAACACCUUCUUUGUACACUUGAACUUAAUUGAAUCCCACAAAAUCACAAUCCCCCCCGAAGCCCCACAAGCAGGAAGAGCAGCCCACUCCAGACUUCUGCCUUUCCAAACACUGCUCACAAACCUCCUGUCCCAAAUUUCUCGCUUUGUUUCCUAAAGCAUCACCACAUCUGGGUUUUGAGUACUUAAAAACCUUCUCACAGUCCUCCUUUUCUUCCUAGAUCCUAAUCCUCUUAUAUUCCAACUUAAGAUUUUCAUGAAAACAAAAACAACCCGACACAACCAACACCCAGUACUAAUCCUCUCCUCGAGUUCCAGAGUCAUUUUUCCUCUUUCUUCUGGAAUAAACCUUGUCUGCAGAGAGAGCACUCUUGUUCUCUCCUUCCACACCUUUUCCUUUAUCCUUGACAAUUCUAAUCCUCAAACUCUCCAAAACCGACUGAACCUUGACCAUCUUCCUAAGCGUAAGUCCCUCAACCUAAAAACCUUCCAACGGGAGGGUGGAAGGUUCUAGCUCUGGGGGUGAAGCCUCACCUGAGACACCACGCUCCUCAGGGUUACUGAGUGUUUCCCUAAGGAAAGGCCGGUCUUUAAAUUUUCGGUUAGAGAUUUCUAGGGGAAACACCACACCUUCAAAACAGGACGCACCACCACGAUGGCUGAUAUUCACAACAGGAGAGAUAAAAAAGGAACCACGUUGAACGGCAAAGCUUGACUCCAACGGAAACGAAGAAAAAGGCUGACAACGAGAAGGAUGAACCAAAGAAACAGAGGAUUCGGGAAGAUAUUUUGGCUCAAAAGCCCCAACCAAAGGAAGAUCCCGCUCGGAUACAGCUAAGAAAGGAGGACGCACCUUAUUGACCAAUUUGCAUUGCGAAAUCCCCUCUUCUCCCUCUGUCUCGCCAGUAAAAACUUUGGAUUUUUCUGAACCAGGAGAAAGAUCGCUCUUACUGGAGCGAGAUUUGCCCCGAAAAGUGUCUCGAUUUGCCUCCGAUGAGCCACCUCCUUCUAGGUUACGCUUCGGGGUAGAAGACGCCUCCUCUAAUCUCGGCGGCCAACUUCUUGCUAUGCGCCUUACGGAGACUGAGGAGCCUUUUGGCUUUGACAACUCUUGAGGAUGAGCUUUCGGCAUUAUUUUCUUUGCAGAGAACCUUGGUCGUAGAAGCUUUGAAGACGAAGAUGCAUCUAGGCCACCAUUAGAGUAACCUUCGUGGGCUGGACCCACUAGGGGCCCAAAAUCUUUCGCCCCAAAUUGGGCCCAAUCAGAGCGGGCUUUAAACACGUCUGGUUUUGUUGGCCCGAUGUUGCUUCCCGCCGUUGGGCCGAACAUCCACCUUCCCUUUCCUUUCUCCCCCUUAGACGAUUUUGAAUCUGAAGAACGAGAAUGGGAACGAUGACGAGGCCUCCAGCUAUGGCACUCAUUGGUCCUAGCAGUAGCUCGUAGCCCCGCUGACCUCAGCUUGUCCUUGCUGCGAUUUGACUCAGGCCUGAGAGAGUCUUCUCCGUCAUCUUCUCCGGUGACUGUAACUGCAACCGUGUAUGUCCAAUCUCCAUCUUCUACCUCUAGUAGCGCUGGAAGCACGACAUUUGGAAGCAUCCCCACCCACAAUGUUACCUUCGUCAAAUCUACAAGCUUCAGCGAAUUCCUCGCCACCUUCGUUACCCUCCCCCACUUCUGCAAAAUGUCUCUCAGUUGCGCCUCAUCCCACAGAUGGAAAGGAAGGCCUCUUAGUUCCAACCAACCCCAUCUAAAUUUUCCAUUAACGACUGAGUUCUCUUUUGGCGACCAUCUCCUCAGAGCAAUAACCUCUCCUCUCACUGUGAAGCUCCCUUGAUCUUGAAUCCACUGAGCUCUCCUUGCAGAAUCCACAAAAAAACACCCUUUGUAAGCAGAAAUGGGUGUUACAGACACCAUUCCUUUCAUACCCACCCUUCUCGCUAUAGCUUUUCCAACAUCACACCAGUCUCAUAUUUUUCCUUUGCUUUCACAAACUACAGCUCUUGCCCAUUUUCCAACUGGCAUCUCUGCACCAUUCCAAGGUCCUUUCUCUGCAACCACAUCAACAUAGGACCACUCACCUUUGUACAUUCCUUUGCUCUCUUGAGGCUUUUUUUGCUUCUCCUUCGAGACUCUUUCAGCUUGAACAAAGAAAUCUUCGACUGAAACAAUCGCCUUCCUAAGAUUUUCCCACCCAUAGCCUUUAACACCUUCGUGAACAACUAAAACCAAAGGUUUUCUCUUUGCAACGAAUUCUGUGAUUUUCAUAUAUCUCCCUCUGCUAUUAAAACAUAUCUCCAUCAGAUGAGUCCUAGUCUUGCCCCUCAUCUUUCGAAUGAAACCCCUAGAAGCCUCCAAAUCCACAGCUUUCUUCAAAUGCUCCAAUAACCAACCCGACUCCUCCUCUCCAAAACCUAAAGAAACCACAAAACCUCGACUUCUCUCUGUUAUUGAAAUCCACGUUCCCCCAUUAAAACCUUCAGACUUUACCUGGAAAACCUUUCUCUCCACUACAAACGACUGAUUUUGAAUCAUCUUCUUAUUGUUGUUAUUUAAACCAGAACAAGGAAAGGGAUAGAGCUUCCCUCUAUGCACCUAAUACAUUUUCCAUUCUUGGACACUUUACUUUUUACUUCACUAUGUCACCAAAUUUCCCUCAACAAAUGUGCAAUAUCUCGAGGUAGACCUCUUAUCUCUAUUGGCCUAACCCAAUUAGCAUCAGUGAAAACUUCAAUCUUCUUCUCUACUUUCUUCCCAAAAAACAAUCCCUUUACUAGAAUCAUCUUCAAGUACCCUAAUAUUCUAUUCAUUGCCUCGAAAUUUUCUUCACAUGUUGCAUGUAUAUGUUGGCUUACCACACUUACAACGGAAGUGAUUUCAAUGUCUAGCAUGUGCCAGGCAGAUAAGCUUACCAAUUAGUAUUUGAUAUCUACCCUUAUCCACGGGUAUCCCUCAUUUUCGUCCAAUCUUGUAGUUUAACUCCAUAGAUGUUUAUGUCGAUUUACGCCCUAACAUCCUAGUUUCUGAUGUUCUUACACUGGUGAAAACGUAAAAGAUGUUUCCAGCAGCACCAAACUCGAGGACAAGAUUCUUCUAAGGAAGGGAGAAUGAUGCAGUUAGUACUAGACAAUUUAUGGCAAUUUGAAAACAUAAAAGGUUUGAUUUAUCAAGUAUGUUGCCCUCAAUAUGGCUUCUCCCUAAUAAGAUUUAGGAGCACGUGUUUUAAAAAAAAAAGUGCUCAUGUAACAUCAAGUAAGUGUCUGUUUUUCCGUUCAGCAACCGCAAUUUCUUGCAGAGUAUCUACACAAGAUGAAUAAUGAAUAAUACCUUCUUUUUGAAGAAAAGUUGAUAGGGUUUAAUUAAAAUAGUCCCUUACAUUAUCACUCCUUAAACUCUUAAUGCAUACCCCAAAUUGGUUUUGAUCGUUUUGAAAAAAUUUGGAAAAACUUCACUCGCUUCGAAUUUUUGUUUCAAGAGAAAAGCCCAUGUUACCCUUGUGCAAUCAAUAAAUGAGACAAACUACUCUACACCCAAAAUAUUAGGAAUUUUAGAUGGUCCCCAAAUAUCAGAGUGAAUCAAAGAAAAUGGAGAAGAUGAUCUUGUAUUACUCAGAGGAAAGGAAACAUGAUGAUGUUUAGAAAACUCACAAAUAUCACAAUGUAAAUUGUUAACAUCAACGUUAUUGAAUUGUAAAGGAAACAUAUCUUUGAGUAAACUAAAUGGUGAAUGUCUUAAGACAGGAGUGUUGAAGCCAAAUGUCAUCUUUAUUCAAGGAAAAAUCAUUAGAUAAAUAGGAAUGUGAAGGUUGGUUGCUACUUCCACCCUUUGUCUCAAGGAAAUAGAGUCUAUCAUUUUCCUUAGCAUGUCCAAUCAUCCUUCCCAUAACCCGAUCCUGAAAAACACAGUAGGUUGGAUAGAUCUACAAUCCAAAUCUUUAGUAACUUGAUGAACAGACAAAAGAUUGACAGACAAUUUAGGAACUUGCAAAACAUUUUUUAGCGGAAGACAGGGGAAUAAAGUAACAAUUCCUUGACCCACAACGGUAGUGAAAGAGCCAUCUGCAUUUUUUAUUUUUCUUAUUACUAGGACAAGGAUUAUAGGUGAUAAGUGACUAAGAAGAAUAUGUCAUAUGAUCAAUUACUCCCAAGUCUAUGACCCAAGAAUCAUUAUGGAGUGUGUUUGAGGCACCAUGGGCAUAAGAAGUAGGAAACUUACCUGAUUGUGCAAAUGAACACAAUCCAUUUGUUUUUCAAGGGAAUUAAGAAGAUUCCUCAACCUCUCUAUCUCCUCCUUAUUGAAUUCCCCAGUCUUCGAGCUACUUAAAUUGGAAUUCUCAUAAGGAUAACCUUCUGCAUGAGUCAAGUGAGUCUGUCCUCUCUGCUGUCCAUUCUUAAAACCACCAUUCAAGUGAGUCAAGUGAGUUUCCAACAAGUUUCUUUGGUGUGAUGAAGCUUCUUACAAUAGGUGCACCAUACUCCAUCACUGUUGAACAACCUUGUUGAUUCAUUCUUAUCGGUUUCAGUUGUGAUUCCUUGUCUCUCAACAUUCCUCUUGAUUCCUUCAUCACUUGUUUUUGUGGAAACCAUGACAAACCCUUCUGUGGGUUGAGAUUCAAGCAUGACACCUCUUCGACUUUCUUCGGCUCAGAUAUUGAGAAAACACCUUGCAAUAAGGGUAGAGUUUCCUUCCCUAAAACUUGCACUCAGACUUGGUCAAACUCAGCAUUAAGGAUUUUUUAUAAUAGUCUAAUUCAAGCUUUAGUAACAUAGCAGCAUCUUCACCACAUUUGACAAAUGUAGGAUCAUUCUAAGCAGGUCCAAUCCCCAUCAAAUGGCUUAAUUUCCCUUUUCCUUUCAGAAAAGUCUUCACCACUUGUGACCACUAUAAGUAUUUUCUACCAUUUAAUUGAUAUGAUGAUUGAGUAUUCUGCAACUCCUCUUUUGGAGAGUUUUGUUGUGCCUCUUCAGAUUGGUUUUCAGUAAUCACAGCAAUAGAGUUACCUUCAGAUGUUUCAAACAGGGCUAAAUAAUGGGUAAGACUGAAUAAUGGACAGCUAGAAGGGAUUUCUCAAAGAAUCAAAUUUCUUAAAAAAAAAAAAAAAAAAAAAUCAGCAAGAAAAGUUGUAGGAUUUUGUAUAAAUUAUUUCCCAAAGAGCAAGAGCUCUAAUACCAUGAGCAAAAAUCUUAUUUCCUAUUACAUUGAAUAUCUUUUAUAAAGGAAAAUAUGUACACAGAUUACAGCCUAUUUAAGGAGAGUUUGACAUCCUAUCACAAUCCUAUCAAUCCCCAAAAUUCCUGCGGAUUCAACCAAAUGCCAACUCUCCAAAUCAUGGUUUAUUAAACAUUUGAGGAGCAUUCUUUCCUAUAAUCCAGGGCAGCUCAGUGAAUUUAAAAGCAGUAUAUUUCUUUUGAUAGAUGACCCCUUUUGGCAUUGGAAUUGAACCUAAAACCUUCCUACUCCCAACCCAAUCCAAUCACUUGCUCCUUGAGCUAAACCUCAAGGCAUCUACAUGGACAAAUGAGAACAAAAGAUAAGUGGUUUUAGGUAAGCAUUUGAAGUACUUGCACCAGGACUAGCAUAAACAUGAAAGUGUACACAUUAUAACCAUGAAUGUCAGUGUGCAUAAAUGCUACCAUGCCUAACCUUCACCCUACAACAGAAAGCACACACCAAAAUGUAUCAUGCAGAGUACUGCACAAUUAUCUCAAAAAUGACGCAGAAUGUUACUUAAAUUCAGGACCUAUAACAUGUAGGAAAGAAAAAAAGAAAAAAAGGAAAAAAAAUUCAUAGAAAUGUGAUGGAAGGAGAAAGUAAUGCAAUUACCUGACCAUGGACGUCACCACAAACAGUGAAAUGGCUGUUGUUUGGAACAUUUAUAUCGACAAGAGAAGGCAGGGCUCGCAGCAUUUCUCUUGUUUGAAGGACAAUCUGGAAUGCAUAUCUACAAAGUGGACAUCAAGAUUCAGAGUAAAAACAUUAGGACUUCCAUCUUUGAAAGAGUCAAACCUAUAACAAGUUUAAAGUUCCCUACACAUACCGCUUGUGUAAGCACUUCUGAUUCUUGAAGUCAUCCAACAUUCUUUUCACAAAAUCCAACGUCACAACAUCUCCCUCUAUCCUUGCACCAGAAUACUGUGGCUCCACAUCUUGGAUGAAAACAAAAUAGCAACUUCAUUAACACCAAGCAUUUAAAUAAUCCUUUUUUAAUAGAUUCCCAGAACUUAUAUGAUAUUAUCUUCUAGAAAACUGAAAUAAUUUUUGUUCAACUGAUUAUAUCCCCCAGCAAAUGAAUUAUAUUUGAAACAAUGGUUAAAGUUGACAGCCAGAACCAAUGCUUUAGAAUAUCCAGAAGCAUGAGGAAAACAACUUGAUGGAAUAUGUAAGAGGUUAAAGCCCAUUCUCUUCAUUUUUAUUAAUACAUGAACCAAAAUUAGAAAAUUAUUGAAAUUAAUAGAGAGAGAAAGAGAGAUUAAAUUAAAGAAUAACUAGUGCAUCUGUAUAUGCAUGCCUUGAUGCAUUUUAUUCAGCAACAUAAUAACACAAGGAUGUACAUGAGCAAAACUAAAAAGAAAAGAAAAAAAAAAAAGAAAGAGAAAGAAAAAUGCUUCCCACAAGUACAUUUGUUUGUUUCUGAUAAAAAACUAAUAAUAAUAAAGAAAAAAGAAAACGACAUCCGAUGAUGCAUUCACAACAGAAAUUCAAUUUCCACAAGUAACCAGGAGUCUAAGAGAACCAAAAAUAUAGAUUAGGAAAAACAACAAAGCAAAUAGAUGGUUUCAAAAAUUUCAAUCAAUUAAGACAAACUCAACAGACACAUAAUCCCAACCACAUGGAGUCAGGUAGACAGACCCUUCACAUAAUUGAGUAUAUCCAACACAUCCCCUCAUGAAGUCCCUGACAAUCAUGCAUUUCAUGACUGGCCAAUCCAUCUUUUACCAUUUUAGCAACAUAUUAUUUUAAGAGGUUGUCUCCUAACUGUCUAGCAUUCUAUAAAAUUUGUAUAGUUUUUUAUUUUUAUUUUUAUUUUUUUCAUUUUUUGGUUGCUCUUACAUGGGAUCGAACUUCAAACCUACCUGAAACCCUAGCAUCUAGAACUGGCCUCAAAUGCAACUAGCAUUCUAUAACAUUUAGCAUAGCUGGACUCAUAGGUAUCUUGUAAAAUUUUCCCUUUACUUCAUAGGCAUUAUACAAUGAGGCAGUACUACUAGGACCUUCUCCACAUCAUCCAUCAUGUUCCAAGCCUACAAGCAACAUCAACCUCAAUUUCACUUCUGAUCAUCUACUGGCCAUCAAUUUCCCCAAUAUGGACAUGAUUAGCAAAUAAUAGCAAGAACAUUAGUAGUUAUGUGGCAUGAAGUCAAGUUAAAACAUGCAAUCUUUUUUAGUGUGUGCAUGCAUAUGUAUGACUCUUUUAUCUUUUUUGUGUCAUCGCCAAAGGUAAUCUUGUUCAAACCUUUCUCCAUCUUUUACCUAAAACAUCUAGUUAAUUGUUUUAUGAAUGAUUCUUUUCUUCCUACCACUUUUACCACACUUUUUGGCCACCGACUUGCAUAGCUAGUGGUGAUUGGAGCCAAAAUGUUUUUGCAUUUAAUUCAUAUUAACUACUUUUCAUCACAUUACAUCACCACUUGUUGUACAAGUGGUAAAGAAUGUGGUAAGAAAUAGCAUUACUGUUUUUUUAUUUCACAACAUUCACUAUUAUUAAUCCAUUUCAACGGAACAUUUUUAUAUAGCAUCACCAAUAUAUUAAAAUGCUCAUUUUCUACACUUUAAAAAAAGUUGCUUAAAUCAAUUUUCUUUUCAUUAAUCCCCAUGUUGCACUCUAGUAAAGAAAAGAAACAAAAUUUUCAAAUCAUGCUCUGGCCCAUUUUCAAUAGAAAAAUGAAGAACAAAUCUUCACUGGACUCCACCAAUUAUAUAAAUUUAGAAUUAUUAACCAAGCCAAUGGAUAGGCAGUACUUCUCAUUCACCUAACAAUGUCUAUCACUAUUAAGUUUUAUUAAAUUAUAUUAUGCCAUGUUUGAUUUACAUUAUGAAAGGUAUUUAAUGCUAAUGAUGAAUUCUUAACCAAACUUCUCUUUGGUUAGUUGUUGAGUCGAUAAUUCAUUGUGAGUUUCCACAAUAUCUAAAACCAUGAAUUUGUGACUUCUGGAAUUAUGGGAGCAAUUUGUGAUCCUUCUUCAUACUCUACAUUGUUUCAAAUAGCUUGGAAACUCUUGUUGCUAUAUUCCCCUAGAAUCGAGAACAUGUUAUCUUGGUUGUGCUAUUGAAGAAUCAAGAUAAGUUGGAAAAAGAGAGAACUCAAACCAAUGUUCCACCACUACAGCACUAGAGUCAGCAGUACACUCCCAAGAAAAGAACAGCAGUCAAUAAAAGGAUACUUCUUAGCUCUUCCUCAACCAAACUUUGGCAGAAAGAGCAAAAGAGACUGUUAAUGAAAGAAUACCCCUCAGCUCUUCCUCAACCAGACUUAGGCAGAAAGAGCAAAAGAAAGUAUACAGUAUUAGUAGGCAUAUAACAAGUAUGAUAUGAUAACUUUGAAAAGCUCAAACCUAGGUUAACUGUAUGACUUUUGGAAAAGACACCACUAGUGCAGCCACCCCACCAACAAGCCCCUAUAACCACCACCACCACUGCCACCACAGUCGUUGCAACUGCGGUUGCUGCAAUUCCCACCACUAACAUCACUACCACCAUGGCUACUGCUGCCGCCGCUAAAGCGGUCACCAGGGUGGUCAAGGAUGAUGAGUCUGGGCCAGUCCCUAUAACAAUAAAAAUUAGUAAAAAUACUAAUAAUGUUAACUCUUAAUAAGCAUAAAAUUUAUAUAGAUUAUUAUAAAUUUAUAAAAUUAUUUUAUGUAUUCAUAAAACUAACACAAAUCAAGCAUCAGUGCAGCAACCCAACUCGAGCUUGAAAUUCUGAGCCCUGCUCCUAUCCCAAAAAUUUAUUAGGCCUAGAAAUAUAGGAUAAUUUUGAGUCCUGAAAAUGAAUCAGGCCUACAAAUAGAGAACACUGCAAACAAUAGAGCCCUAUCCUUCACAAUGUAGCCAGCCAAUGCUCUAGCUAGAACAUCACCUUAUAGCUACCCACCCAUGGAAACUGCACCACUCCCAUUUUUAUAAACACAUAAGUUAAAAAAUAUCAAACCAAAAUUUGAAAAACAAAUACACAUCAACCAAGAAAGAUGAUAGAAACACUUUACUGAAUCUAACUCCAAUCUCACUCUAAAAUAAAGAUGAUUCCCCAUUGAACUCUUCUGCAAUACACAAAGAAUACAUCAUACAUUAUCAAUACCCAUCAAAUUAAUCCAAUGAGAUUUCCAAUAAUUGAAAAUACUGAGAUUCUCAUGCAUUCAAAUUGUUCAAAAAUUUAGACAAGGAAGCUUCCUCUCUUCCAAAAAAAACUUCAUAUCAAAGAUUAACUCCCUCAAUGUGAAAAGAGAAACCUAAUUCAACACCUUACCUCUUGAAGAAAAACCCAAUGAAGGAAAGAAAAAAAUAAGAUUUACUAGUUCAUUCCUAGUGCUUCCUGUAUAGUUCUAGGAAUAAAUAAGUGUGAGAUAUUUGAAGUGAAAGCUCUAUACUUUCCUGAGAGUAUUUGAUAAUCACCAUAAUAAAGUAGUAAUUAAUUUCAAUGAAGCAUAGACUUGUAAAUAAAAUUACCAACAUUUUUAAAAACUCUUAUAAACAAACACAAAAAUAGCACAGAUCAUCAUUUUUUAUGUCCUAAAGUACCUUUGAACUACAUAGAUUAUCAUUUUGGUGUAGAAUGUAAUUUAAUGAGUUUUUUAAGUAUUGAAACUCCAUGAAACAUAAUUGUCGUCUCUACUAUAAAUUUAGUAUUCACUUUUAAAGUCAUAUUUGUUAUCAUAUAAAUUUGCAUUUUUAUUUAAUGACCAAUGCCAUGAUUUUUUUUUUUUCAUAGGUAAAUUGUUUUUUUUUCUUUUUUCCGUUUUUGUCCCCAUUGGGACUUGAACCUAGAACCUCUCAUAAACCCACCCCAACCCUUUACCACUUGAGCCAGGCCUCAAGAGCGACCAAUGCCACUAAUUUUAUAACACAUAUAUUAUUAUCUUAAAAGUUCUUGAUUAAUGUAUACUAUAGAUUAUUUUAUCAUUUCUCAAUGGGAAAUCCCUCUUUGGUUGGUCCAAAGUUACGUUAGAAAUGGGAAAUUUCUCAUUGAUGACAUUCAUAUAUGGUCCCUAGAGGAAGUGUCCUUGCUCCUUGCUUAUACUUACCUCAAGCCUCUAUAUGGUUAGAGGGUUUAUUCCCGCAACUACUUGACGGCCGAAUUCAUCAUCUCGCAAGCAGCACAGUGUGUACCCUGAGAGUGAAGAAGCCUCACACACAAAGAAUGAGUGAGGCUUCUAGGGGUGGAAGGAGCUAGUUCGUUGUUGAAUCUAAGUCUUACGAGUUGCAGGUUGAGGUGGUAGGUGGCAAGCUGAAAGGGUGUAUCGGGGAGAAAUGUAGAGGAACCACUUCAUAGAUUAGGUUUGGGGAAGUUAGUUUAAGUCGUUUGUUGGAUGGUGUUGAAACUUGUUGUAGGGAUAAUGGAAAUAGAAGGUGGGUUCUUGAUUGGGAGGAGGAGGGGAGGAAAUAUAGGUUGGAGCAUCGAUCAAAUGAGGCGUGAAGGUUUUUUCUCUGUUCAAUUUGCGAUAUUGAGUCCAAGAGGUACUGUGUGAUCUUCCCAAAAGGAAGGGGUUUGUUAGGAGGUUAUAAUAUUCUGGCGGACAAGCUGCGUGAUCUUGGAAAGGUUUGUUGUCAAUGACUUAUGCCGAAAUGGCAAAACCGAGGCCAAGGAGGAUAGGUGAUUUGUUUGGUUGGAGCUGUGAGAAAGAGAGUUGCUAGGAAGGAAGGAUCAAUUGGACCGGUGUUUAGUGGGCUGGUGGGGAGUGGAUUUUGUUCCUGCCCCUGGAUUUAGUGAGGAGUUGGGCGAGCCACCUUUGGUUGCUAAAGGGGAGAUUGAGAGCGGCUUUUCCGGGUAAAGGGCUUUUGUUGUUUGAGUUUGAGUCUUUGAGUGAAGCUGAAAGGGAUUUGGCUAGAGGGAAAAGAAGACUCAAGGAGAACGUUUUGCAUCUUACAAGAUGGAAUCCGGAGGCGGGGUAUUUCCGGCAAGGUGCUAGCAUUAAGGAAACUUGGGUGAGGGUGGUGGGUCUUCCUCUUCACAUGUAGAGUAGAGAGGUGCUUAAAAAUAUAGGUGAUGGGUGCGGAGGUUUUAUUGCAGUGGAUGAGGAUAUAGCUUUCUUCAUGGAAUUAUAGUGGGCGAGGAUUUUAGUAGAAUUGGAAGGCAAGGAGCAAACCAGUUCUCUGUGGGAUCAGGUUGUUUUGUCAUUCAGUUAUGGUGGGAAACCCAUCCUAGUUUUGUCCAGGUGGUGUCAGCGAGCAAGAACUGCAUGGCUGGAAGUUCCAAGGGUAGGGAAGCAGUUGAGGAGAGGCCACACGCUGAUUAUUGUGGUGAUUUAAGAGAAAGGGUGGUGUUGGUUGAGGUACAGAGGGGAGUACAAAAUGUGUCGUUGCAUGAGGGGAGGCAAAAAGGAGUUGGUGCUGAUACUACUAUUGUUGCUAUUGCUUCCUCUGAACUAGGGUCAGUGGGUAGGUCUAAAAAGUGGAAUACUAAUUUGAUUCCUGAGAGUAGGGGAGAAUGACACUUUUUUGAAAUCGUUGGGUGGGUGCAGUGGCGAGUUGAUUAAAGGAAGAAAAAGGAAAGAGAGAUUGGGCUCAAUGGAGGCCCAAUCUGUUAUUGGGCUUGAGUAUCGACGGGGGAAGGGAGAAUUGGAGGUGGGUUUAAGGCACAUUUCUUUAAAAAUAUCUUUAGUGGGUUGUAAUGAGGGUUGGGAGAUGAGGGUUGGGCCUAGUAAAAGUGGUUUGGGGUUCAAUGGCCCUUUUAAAGCCUUAGUUCUUCCCGUGGCUAACUUUGAAGCUAGGGCAAAAGAGGAGUCCCAAAGAGAAGCCAACAAUGGUAAAAGGUCAGUUUUUGGCAUCCUAGAGGGGGACCCGAUGCUCGAGGUGGCUCCUUUGCUUACCCAGACUGAGUCGACUCUGUCGGAGGUCGCUAGGGCAGAGUUUAAAAACAAGGUGCUAUUGGAAGAGGCCUCUAGGUAUGACACUCUUUCCCACGGUUGUGUGAAGACCCUGUUUCUCUCUUCUACUCCUUUUCUUUUUGGUCGAGCCUUGGUGGCAAGGGGAUCCUCUGGCCAGGGUGGGUUGGUGCCAAUAGAAGAAGAGAGUUCCUUAGAUCCUUUGUCCAUCAUCUUGGCUAACAGUAGUGAAAAGGCUAUGGAUGAAGGGGGAGGGAGGGACGUAGCAGAAAUGGCUGUGGAAGUAGGGCUUACUCAAGAAGUAAGGGAGUUUGGAGAUCAGUGGAAUGAGAGCAGCUUGGUAAAGUUUAGCAAAUAUUUGGGUUUUUCCUUAGAAGGGUUUGAAGGGGAAUUUCUAAGUUUGCUUCAAAGGAUAAAAAAAAAGGGAACAGAUUAAGAGGAAGGGUGUUGGUUCGACCACUAGGUUCGACUGAGAACUGAAUAAGUUAAGAGUGGUCGAUCAAUUACAAAGGAGGGGACAAAGAGAGUGAGGUGGUCAAAGGAGGAGGGAACAGAGAGUUGAGUUGUAAAUGAAGCUAAAGUUGUUGUCCUGGAAUGUCAAAGGGGCAAAUGACAACAAUAAGAGGAAGGUUAUUAAAGCAUUAAUUAGGGAUCAGAAGGCAAAUCUGGUGUGUCUUCAGGACACUAAAAUUCAAGAGAUGUCCAUUGGAGUGGUGCGAAGUCUUGGAGUGGCAGGUUUCUAGAGUGGGGUGCGUGUGUGUGGAAUAGCCGGAGGGGUGGUGGUUUUUUGGGAUAACAGAGUGUUAGAGUUGACUAGCAUGGUGGUGGGUCAGUUCUCGAUCUCUUGUCGUUUUAGAAAUUGCGAUGAUGUUUUGUGUGGGUUUUUACGGGGGUUAUGGUCCCAUUUUGAAGAGAUGUAGAGAACUUUUUUGAAAGGAGUUGGGGGCUAUCCGUGGGUUGUGGGAUGACCCCUAGUGCAUUGGAGGGGAUUUUAACAUGUCAAGGUUCCCUAGUGAGCGCAAUAGAGGAGGCAGGUUGGAGGCUGCAAUGAGAAGAUUUUCGAAGGUGAUUGAUGAUUUGGCUCUAAGAGACCUUCCAUUGCAGGGGGUCCAUUUACUUGGAAUGGUGGUCUUAAUGGGCAAACUAUGUCAAGAUUGGAUCUUUUCUUGGUGUCUGAGGACUGGGAAAGUCAGUUCAGUGGGGUGGUGCAAAGCACUCUUCCCCUACCAGUGUCUAAUCACCAUUCUAUCCUUUUAGAUGGGGGAGGGAUGAGGAGAGGUCUUUUGGAUUUUCGUUUUGAGAAUAUGCAGUUGAAGGAGGAAGGGUUUAAGGAUCUUUUAAAAGACUGGUGGCAAUGGCUCAAUUUCAAGGGCUCUAGCAGUUCAUUCUAGCAACAAAGUUGAAGGCUCUUAAGGGUUUUUUUGAAAACCUAGAACAAGGAAGUGUUUGGGAAGGUGGAGGUUAACAAGAGUUUGGCAUUACAAGAAGUCAAUUUAUGGGAUACUCAGGAGAGGUCUAGAACCUUAUUGGUGGAGGAGGUGGAGGCAAGCAGGCCAGGGAGGAAUAUAAGAAAUGGGUUCUCAUGGAGGAAAUCUGUUGGAAGCAAAAAUCUAGAGAAGUGUGGCUGAAAGAAGGUGACAGGAAUACAAGUUAUUUCCACGGGAUGGCGAAAUUGUCAUAGAAGGAGUAAUCUGACCAAGAUUAAAAGUAAUGGUUCUUGGAUAGUAGAGGAGAGGGAAAUUCAGGGGGUUGUGGUUAGUACUUUCAGCACCUAUUGUCGAAUCCUGGUGGCUAGAGUCCAAGUUUGGAUGGGCUGGUUUUUGACAGAUUAGUAGGGGAAGAGGAAGCUAGGCUAGAGGAGGCUUUCUCUGUUAAUGAGGUUGUCUCUACUCUUUGCGACCUAAGCGGGGACAAAGCUCCAGGGCCAGAUGGAUAUUACUUAGCUUUUUGGCAAUCCAGUUGGGAUUUUGUGAAGGAGGUGAUGGGUUUUUUCCGAGAAUUUCACGAGCAUGGGAGGUUUGUUAAAAGUUUGAACUCUACUUUCUUGGUGUUGGUUCAAAAAAAGGGAGAUGUUGAGGGCUUUAGAGAUUUCAAACCUAUCAGUUUGGUGAGAGGGCUAUACAAAUUGUUAGCAAAAGUGUUAGCUAAUAGGUUGAAGAAAGUGGUGGGUAAGGUGGUAUUCCAUCUCAAAAUGCUUUUGUUGAUGGGAAGCAAAUUCUGGAUGCAGUGUUAAUAGCUAAUGAGGCUGUAGAUUCUAUUUUGAAAGGUAAUGAAUGCGGGGUGAUGUGUAAGCUUGAUAUAGAGAAGGCAUACAACCAUUUAAAAGGGGAUUUCUUGCUCCAGGUGUUGAAGAAAAUGGGCUUUGGAGACAAAUGGGUAGGGUGCGUUAAGUGGUAUAUUUCUACAACUUCUUUCUCGAUGUCGGUUAAUGGCACACUGCCAGGUUUCUUUAACAGCUCCAAGGGGUUGAGACAAGGGAACCCCCUUUCACCCUACAUUUCUAUAAUAGGUAUGGAGGCCUUGAGCUGUUUGAUCAAGAGAGUAGUUAGUGGGGGCUUUUUGACUGGUUGUAGGGUUAAAGGGAGGGGUGGUGAGAGAGUUCAACUCACCCAUCUGUUGUACGCUGAUUUUUUGUGAUGCCUCUGAGGGCAAUUGGCUCACCUAAGCUAGGUGUUAAUUUCGUUUGAAGUUAUAGCCAAUUUAAGAAUUAAUAUGGAUAAAAGAGAGAUUCUUCCAGUAGGGAGCGUGGAGAAUCUGGAGGAGCUGGCUCUUGAGCUUGGGUGUAAGGUGGGGAAGCUCUCUUCCUUAUAUUUAGGGCUUCCCUUGGGUGCACCUCACAAAUCAAUGGCGGUGUGGGAUGGGGUGGAGGAGAGGUUACNNNNNNNNNNNNNNNNNNNNNNNNNNNNNNNNNNNNNNNNNNNNNNNNNNNNNNNNNNNNNNNNNNNNNNNNNNNNNNNNNNNNNNNNNNNNNNNNNNNNAGACUAGCAUUGUGGAAGAUGCAAUAUAUAUCUAAAAGAGGGAGACUUACUCUCAUUCAAAGCACUUUGUCGAGCAUGCCUAUUUACUACAUGUCAAUUUUGCAUAUGCCUAGAUCGGUUAGAUUAAGACUUGAGCAAAUCCAAAGGGAUUUCCUUUGGGGUGGGGGGGGCUUUGGAGAGGAAGACUUAUCUUGUUUUUUUUUUAGAUCAGAAACGAAGAGAAAUAUAUUAAUAGAAGGAAAGAUACAGGAGAAAGAAAAGAAAAAAGAAACAAAAGAAACCACUAGAAGGAUGAGAGGUCCUUCCUACACAAUCUGAACAACAGAAAAAACACCCAACAUUAGCUAAAAACAAAGAGAAACCCCCAUAAACUCAAACUUUUGAAGCGCAAACCUCACUCCAGUUGAGUUGUAACACAUUUAGAGGAACUCCUCUAAAAGCUGCAGAACAAGAAGCCCAAAGAGAGGAAUAGAACAAAA
This 43833-nucleotide long non-coding RNA is filed under the name Vitis vinifera (wine grape). RNAcentral's name for it is "long non-coding RNA (VVIN_LNC003639)". Lineage: Eukaryota; Viridiplantae; Streptophyta; Magnoliopsida; Vitales; Vitaceae. The record is from RNAcentral.